AAUAAAGUGUCUGAAAAAGAAUUAUUAUGAUAUAAUAAAUUAUGCAAAUUAAAAUGCCUUUAUUU
RNAcentral lists this transfer RNA (65 nucleotides) under Macrocentrus camphoraphilus. RNAcentral describes it as "tRNA-Ile". The record is from RNAcentral. Lineage: Eukaryota; Metazoa; Arthropoda; Insecta; Hymenoptera; Braconidae.